This 76-nucleotide transfer RNA is filed under the name Salmonella enterica subsp. enterica serovar Enteritidis. RNAcentral describes it as "tRNA-Thr". It matches the Rfam family "tRNA". From Rfam's summary of the family: Transfer RNA (tRNA) molecules are approximately 80 nucleotides in length. The record is from RNAcentral. Lineage: Bacteria; Pseudomonadati; Pseudomonadota; Gammaproteobacteria; Enterobacterales; Enterobacteriaceae.
GCCGACUUAGCUCAGAAGGUAGAGCAACUGACUUGUAUUCAGUAGGUCACCUGUUCUAUUCCGGUAGUCGGCACCU